Molecule: ribosomal RNA, 459 nt
Filed under: uncultured bacterium
Lineage: Bacteria
Description: partial 16S ribosomal RNA
Rfam family: Bacterial small subunit ribosomal RNA
Source: RNAcentral
CCUACGGGGGGCUGCAGUGAGGAAUAUUGGUCAAUGGGCGCGAGCCUGAACCAGCCAAGUAGCGUGAAGGAUGACUGCCCUACGGGUUGUACACUUCUUUUAUCAAGGAAUAAAGUGAGGCACGUGUGCCUUUUUGUAUGUAUUUUAUGCAUAAGGAUCGGCUAACUCCGUGCCAGCAGCCGCGGUAAUACAUAGGAUGCAAGCGUUAUCCGGAUUUACUGGGCUUAAAACGAGCGCAGGCGGGUUAACAAGUUUGGUAGUAAAGGCUUUUGCUUAACGAAAGUUUGGAUCAAAAACUGUUAAUCUAGAGUGUAGGAGAGAGUUCUGGAAUUCCAUGUGGAGCGGUGGAAUGCGUAGAUAUAUGGAAGAACACCAGUGGCGAAGGCGAGAACUUAGGCUAUCACUGACGCUUAGGCUCGAAAGUGUGGGGAGCAAAUAGGAUUAGAUACCCGAGUAGUC